GAUGAACGCUAGCUACAGGCUUAACACAUGCAAGUCGAGGGGAAACGACAUCGAAAGCUUGCUUUUGAUGGGCGUCGACCGGCGCACGGGUGAGUAACGCGUAUCCAACCUGCCCACCACUUGGGGAUAACCUUGCGAAAGUAAGACUAAUACCCAAUGAUAUCCCACGAAGGCAUCGGAAUGGGAUUAAAGAUUUAUCGGUGAUGGAUGGGGAUGCGUCUGAUUAGCUUGUUGGCGGGGUAACGGCCCACCAAGGCAACGAUCAGUAGGGGUUCUGAGAGGAAGGUCCCCCACAUUGGAACUGAGACACGGUCCAAACUCCUACGGGAGGCAGCAGUGAGGAAUAUUGGUCAAUGGGGCGGAAGCCUGAACCAGCCAAGUAGCGUGAGGGAUGACUGCCCUAUGGGUUGUAAACCUCUUUUAUAAGGGAAUAAAAUACGGGACGUGUCCUGUUUUGCAUGUACCUUAUGAAUAAGGACCGGCUAAUUCCGUG
This 493-nucleotide ribosomal RNA is filed under the name uncultured bacterium. RNAcentral's name for it is "bacterial SSU rRNA". It matches the Rfam family "Bacterial small subunit ribosomal RNA", at positions 28 to 507 of the family's 1533-position model. The record is from RNAcentral.